This 464-nucleotide ribosomal RNA is filed under the name uncultured Klebsiella sp. RNAcentral's name for it is "bacterial SSU rRNA". It matches the Rfam family "Bacterial small subunit ribosomal RNA", at positions 338 to 795 of the family's 1533-position model. Lineage: Bacteria; Pseudomonadati; Pseudomonadota; Gammaproteobacteria; Enterobacterales; Enterobacteriaceae. The record is from RNAcentral.
CCUACGGGUGGCUGCAGUGGGGAAUAUUGCACAAUGGGCGCAAGCCUGAUGCAGCCAUGCCGCGUGUGUGAAGAAGGCCUUCGGGUUGUAAAGCACUUUCAGCGGGGAGGAAGGCGUUAAGGUUAAUAACCUUGGCGAUUGACGUUACCCGCAGAAGAAGCACCGGCUAACUCCGUGCCAGCAGCCGCGGUAAUACGGAGGGUGCAAGCGUUAAUCGGAAUUACUGGGCGUAAAGCGCACGCAGGCGGUCUGUCAAGUCGGAUGUGAAAUCCCCGGGCUCAACCUGGGAACUGCAUUCGAAACUGCAGGCUAGAGUCUUGUAGAGGGGGGUAGAAUUCCAGGUGUAGCGGUGAAAUGCGUAGAGAUCUGGAGGAAUACCGGUGGCGAAGGCGGCCCCCUGGACAAAGACUGACGCUCAGGUGCGAAAGCGUGGGGAGCAAACAGGAUUAGAUACCCGAGUAGUC